ACAGGCUUUUCAGGAAAUUCAGCAAUCUACCAGUGAGCAGCCGCUGGUCUUACUGCGCUCUUCACCUGGGUGAUUUAUCUCAUCGGUAUGAGGAAGACAGACUGCUGACUCAGCCAGGCCUGCUUUCCCGCUCUUCUCGACCCCGCGAACGAGACCGUCCAGCUGGCAGAUUCAAGUUUCCGAGGCUCUUCAUUUCAGCUAGUUUUCAAAGUCCAGGAAUUUUUCUCUUAAUUGAGGUUACUUCUCAAAGAGAGCACAGAACCAGCAUCCCAAGAACCAGCCACCUCUUCUUACCCAAGCAAGACCACGGGAGGAAUAUCGGCCGCCGGAAGCCACCGUUUUGGUGACUAAAUAUGGGUGAUGUCCCCCAACUGCAAAGGAAGAAGGGGUAAACAGUUGAAUGAUCACCUGGCAAACAACCGCCGAUUACUCCUGAAAUCAAAUGCAGAGUAGGCGGUUACUCCUGACUUUUUCUCAAGAGCAUUCCAGCAGCCGUUUCCAAUGUGCGGCUCUGAGCCACCAGGCCUGAAGCCAAAAAUCCUUCUGCCGCCCUGGUCGCUGACGGGCCGGAUGGCCUUUGGGAACACCACUUCCCUUUGUGGGCCUCAAUCUGUCCAUUUGUUAAAUUAGGAAAAUUAGCUAACUGAACUCUUAGGCUAGGUAACAGCUGAGGCAUCAAACUAAGAGCAAAACGUAAAGACGGUAUUUUCAGAGGGUGGAUCUGAGAUAAACCACUCAUUCAUCAUUGAUCUGUGAAAAAUACCCAGGACACUGUCCAAUCUGGAAUCUGUGUGGUGGGGGAAAGGGUAAAUCCUAUUGAGAUUAUCGCCGACCUUAUAUGGAGUCAGUGAAGAAAGUAUUUUGUACCUCCGGA
Ornithorhynchus anatinus (platypus) is the source of this 874-nucleotide long non-coding RNA. RefSeq lists it as uncharacterized. The record is from RefSeq and is a predicted model, not a curated record. NCBI's taxonomy places the organism in Eukaryota, Metazoa, Chordata, Mammalia, Monotremata, Ornithorhynchidae. The transcript is spliced from 4 exons.